Molecule: regulatory RNA element, 106 nt
Organism: Geosporobacter ferrireducens
Lineage: Bacteria; Bacillati; Bacillota; Clostridia; Peptostreptococcales; Thermotaleaceae
Rfam family: PyrR binding site
About the family: This family represents the PyrR binding site and terminator structure. This RNA structure is found upstream of a variety of genes involved in pyrimidine biosynthesis and transport. The alignment also includes a portion of the antiterminator structure.
Source: Rfam
AAUCCCUUUAAUUUAACCCCGUGAGGUUAAAAAGGUUGAAUAGAUCCUAUCUACGGAUUCUGGUUCUCUAUGCCUUUUUGCCUGCGGGUAAAAAGGUAUUUUUUAU